RNAcentral lists this ribosomal RNA (589 nucleotides) under Salmonella enterica subsp. enterica serovar Typhimurium. Its description in RNAcentral is "partial 23S ribosomal RNA". It matches the Rfam family "Bacterial large subunit ribosomal RNA", at positions 2196 to 2784 of the family's 2925-position model. The record is from RNAcentral. Lineage: Bacteria; Pseudomonadati; Pseudomonadota; Gammaproteobacteria; Enterobacterales; Enterobacteriaceae.
AAUACCACCCUUUAAUGUUUGAUGUUCUAACGUGGACCCGUAAUCCGGGUUGCGGACAGUGUCUGGUGGGUAGUUUGACUGGGGCGGUCUCCUCCUAAAGAGUAACGGAGGAGCACGAAGGUUGGCUAAUCCUGGUCGGACAUCAGGAGGUUAGUGCAAUGGCAUAAGCCAGCUUGACUGCGAGCGUGACGGCGCGAGCAGGUGCGAAAGCAGGUCAUAGUGAUCCGGUGGUUCUGAAUGGAAGGGCCAUCGCUCAACGGAUAAAAGGUACUCCGGGGAUAACAGGCUGAUACCGCCCAAGAGUUCAUAUCGACGGCGGUGUUUGGCACCUCGAUGUCGGCUCAUCACAUCCUGGGGCUGAAGUAGGUCCCAAGGGUAUGGCUGUUCGCCAUUUAAAGUGGUACGCGAGCUGGGUUUAGAACGUCGUGAGACAGUUCGGUCCCUAUCUGCCGUGGGCGCUGGAGAACUGAGGGGGGCUGCUCCUAGUACGAGAGGACCGGAGUGGACGCAUCACUGGUGUUCGGGUUGUCAUGCCAAUGGCACUGCCCGGUAGCUAAAUGCGGAAGAGAUAAGUGCUGAAAGCAUCUAA